Long non-coding RNA from Alligator sinensis (Chinese alligator), 369 nucleotides. RefSeq lists it as uncharacterized. NCBI's taxonomy places the organism in Eukaryota, Metazoa, Chordata, Crocodylia, Alligatoridae. The record is from RefSeq and is a predicted model, not a curated record. The transcript has 2 exons.
GGGGGGCCGCGCGGCGGCGCUGCUGGGCGCCGGCUGGUGGGUGUCCAAGCAACCGCGGAGUGCCCUGGCCCUGGGCGCCGCGCCCAACAUGUGGCAGUGGACGCAGAUCGCCUUCGCCAUCGGCCUGGCCUCCUGGGGCUUGGUCACCGUUGCAAACCCACAGGGAAGCAGAUGAAGUAGUACCCGUGAGACCGACCCCGGAGACGCGCCGAGACGAGGCGCUGCUGCCCCUCCACGUCCCUCCCUCCAGCCCCCUCGCAGCUCGCCCGGCCAGGGGGGCAGGGGCCUGGGGCCGGGCUACGUACCCGGCAGGAUCGGGGCGGGUUCAGGGAGACGCUUAUGGGGGAAAUAAAGCUGGGAUAGACCUUG